CCUACGGGAGGCAGCAGUGGGGAAUUUUGGACAAUGGGCGCAAGCCUGAUCCAGCAAUGCCGCGUGAGUGAAGAAGGCCUUCGGGUUGUAAAGCUCUUUUGUCAGGGAAGAAACGGUCUUGGUUAAUACCUGGGGCUAAUGACGGUACCUGAAGAAUAAGCACCGGCUAACUACGUGCCAGCAGCCGCGGUAAUACGUAGGGUGCAAGCGUUAAUCGGAAUUACUGGGCGUAAAGCGUGCGCAGGCGGUUGUGUAAGACAGGUGUGAAAUCCCCGGGCUUAACCUGGGAAUGGCAUUUGUGACUGCACGGCUAGAGUGUGUCAGAGGGGGGUAGAAUUCCACGUGUAGCAGUGAAAUGCGUAGAGAUGUGGAGGAAUACCGAUGGCGAAGGCAGCCCCCUGGGAUAACACUGACGCUCAUGCACGAAAGCGUGGGGAGCAAACAGGAUUAGAUACCCUGGUAGUCCACGCCCUAAACGAUGUCUACUAGUUGUCGGGUCUUAAUUGACUUGGUAACGCAGCUAACGCGUGAAGUAGACCGCCUGGGGGAGGUACGGUCGUCGAGAAGUUAAACUUACUAAAGUUAAGUUAGUAGCGNGNGAGAGCGACGACGACGACGACGGAGGAGGAGG
RNAcentral lists this ribosomal RNA (631 nucleotides) under uncultured bacterium. Its description in RNAcentral is "bacterial SSU rRNA". The stretch from base 1 to 542 matches the Rfam family "Bacterial small subunit ribosomal RNA", at positions 338 to 873 of the family's 1533-position model. The record is from RNAcentral.